AUGGGCUCAGAUCUGAGCUCGAAAAGGGACCGGCCGUUGCGUUGCAAGGUUGAAGCCGCUGAAAUGGCUAAUGCGGCGCUGGCUUCUCUGUUCUGGGCGCCGAGGCAUGUGUCCGGGUCAGCCGUUGCUUCCGCUGAAGCUCUGCCACUGACCUAUGGGCCGGCCCUUGUUGAGGUCUACCUCUGCUUCCUGCUCCUCCUCUUCCUCGUCGUCGCACCUUUGCCAUGGCCUUGCCUCCUCUUUCGGUUUGCCCAGACACGCCCCAGUGCCGACUUUGGAGCCCGCUGCAUUAGCCUAUGA
This 300-nucleotide ribosomal RNA is filed under the name Triticum aestivum (bread wheat). RNAcentral's name for it is "partial small subunit ribosomal RNA". The record is from RNAcentral. Lineage: Eukaryota; Viridiplantae; Streptophyta; Magnoliopsida; Poales; Poaceae.